This 254-nucleotide ribosomal RNA is filed under the name uncultured bacterium. RNAcentral's name for it is "partial 16S ribosomal RNA". It matches the Rfam family "Bacterial small subunit ribosomal RNA", at positions 524 to 776 of the family's 1533-position model. The record is from RNAcentral.
CACGUAGGGUGCGAGCGUUGUCCGGAAUUAUUGGGCGUAAAGAGCUCGUAGGCGGUGUGUCGCGUCGGCCGUGAAAACCUGCAGCUUAACUGUGGGCUUGCGGUCGAUACGGGCAUCACUGGAGUUCGGCAGGGGAGACUGGAAUUCCUGGUGUAGCGGUGAAAUGCGCAGAUAUCAGGAGGAACACCGGUGGCGAAGGCGGGUCACUGGGCCGCAACUGACGCUGAGGAGCGAAAGCAUGGGAAGCGAACAGG